This 326-nucleotide ribosomal RNA is filed under the name Comicus campestris. RNAcentral describes it as "partial 12S ribosomal RNA". The record is from RNAcentral. Lineage: Eukaryota; Metazoa; Arthropoda; Insecta; Orthoptera; Schizodactylidae.
AGUAGGAGUUAAGGUCUUGAAACUCAAAAGAUUUGACGGUAACUUAAGCUUUUAGAGGAAUCUGUUUCGUAAUCGAUAAUACACGAUUUAUUUGACUUGUUCUAGUAUAUUCAGCUUGUAUACCGCUGUCGUAAGUUUGUCUUUUUAGAGGUAAUUUUCUAAAAUAAUAAUGUUAAUAAUGUCAGGUCAAGGUGCAGUUUAUGGACAAGAGUUUAAUGGAUUACAAUAAGUUUAUUUAAAUGGAUUUGUAUUUGAAAAAUACAAUGAAGGUGGAUUUAAAAGUAAUGUUUAGAAAAUUAAAAUGUGAAUAUGAUAUUAAGUUGUGU